Molecule: ribosomal RNA, 710 nt
Filed under: uncultured Staphylococcus sp.
Lineage: Bacteria; Bacillati; Bacillota; Bacilli; Caryophanales; Staphylococcaceae
Description: bacterial SSU rRNA
Rfam family: Bacterial small subunit ribosomal RNA
Source: RNAcentral
CUUGCUUCUCUGAUGUUAGCGGCGGACGGGUGAGUAACACGUGGGUAACCUACCUAUAAGACUGGGAUAACUCCGGGAAACCGAGGCUAAUACCGGAUAAUAUAUUGAACCGCAUGGUUCAAUGUUGAAAGACGGUUUCGGCUGUCACUUAUAGAUGGACCCGCGCCGUAUUAGCUAGUUGGUAAGGUAACGGCUUACCAAGGCAACGAUACGUAGCCGACCUGAGAGGGUGAUCGGCCACACUGGAACUGAGACACGGUCCAGACUCCUACGGGAGGCAGCAGUAGGGAAUCUUCCGCAAUGGGCGAAAAGCCUGACGGAGCAACGCCGCGUGAGUGAUGAAGGUCUUAGGAUCGUAAAACUCUGUUGUUAGGGAAGAACAAAUUUGUUAGUAACUGAACAAGUCUUGACGGUACCUAACCAGAAAGCCACGGCUAACUACGUGCCAGCAGCCGCGGUAAUACGUAGGUGGCAAGCGUUAUCCGGAAUUAUUGGGCGUAAAGCGCGCGUAGGCGGUUUCUUAAGUCUGAUGUGAAAGCCCACGGCUCAACCGUGGAGGGUCAUUGGAAACUGGGGAACUUGAGUGCAGAAGAGGAGAGUGGAAUUCCAUGUGUAGCGGUGAAAUGCGCAGAGAUAUGGAGGAACACCAGUGGCGAAGGCGGCUCUCUGGUCUGUAACUGACGCUGAUGUGCGAAAGCGUGGGGAUCAAA